AGAGAGGAGGGGGAACAGACAGGCAGAAACAGCGCAAACUCCAGGAGGUGAAUGUGCUCGGUUCCAUUUUCUGCUCAGUCUUCGUGUCGCCAUGAAAGGACGAUUCAAAUCUCUUUUCAACAAAUGUGGAGCUGAAUUCUCUGUUAAAUUGUUUUCCACAUAUUUUCGACUGUGUCUUGUAGAGAACGAGGGCUGCUGCGCACUUGGCGCUAAUGUCUCAUCACCAUAAUGCGCUUCAGCUGUUGAGAAUGUUAACUGCUCCAGACUUGAGGUGAUCACGGAUCCUCUCCGAAACGAGCUCGUGUCAUGAGGAGAAUAAUGAGCACCAACCAUCACGAGACGGACGACGUGCGUCAGUGGCUCUAAGACACUCAUCAAUCUGCGGAACAGAUGCUGUCCGAAAAAAAAAAAAAAACCUCCACGUGUCAACGCAAUCUGACAAUCUGCCAGAUGAGACGCAGAUCUCAGCCUGUGUGGCAGCAGGGAGUCUUCUCUAAGGAACUACACCCUUGAAGCUAAUACAGUUCAAACAUUGACUUUAGUGAUGAAGACUAACAUAAAACUGUCAUCCGGAGUUCUUCCACGUUUGUGAGUAUUACAACAAGCAAAACAUCCACUUCAAACAGCCACAGGGCCACACAGCUGCCUUCCUGCCCAGCUAUGGCUCCCCCUAGCCGUGCCUCCAUAUUUCCUUGUUAAUGCACACCAUAAUGCACUGACCCUCCCUGCUGUAUCACACAGAAAAGACACCAAGAUACACCUGAAAACCCCAGUUUCUCUAUCUAAAUGUGGACUAUACAGUCUCAAUCUGCCUCUCAGCCAACAUUGGGCACCAUGGGCCUCAGCAGGACUGAGGAUU
This is a long non-coding RNA of Seriola aureovittata, 859 nucleotides long. RefSeq lists it as uncharacterized. NCBI's taxonomy places the organism in Eukaryota, Metazoa, Chordata, Actinopteri, Carangiformes, Carangidae. The transcript is spliced from 4 exons. The record is from RefSeq and is a predicted model, not a curated record.